GUGGGGAAUUUUGGACAAUGGGCGCAAGCCUGAUCCAGCAAUGCCGCGUGCAGGAAGAAGGCCUUCGGGUUGUAAACUGCUUUUGUACGGAACGAAACGGUCCUGGUUAAUACCUGGGGCUAAUGACGGUACCGUAAGAAUAAGCACCGGCUAACUACGUGCCAGCAGCCUCGGUAAUACGUAGGGUGCGAGCGUUAAUCGGAAUUACUGGGCGUAAAGCGUGCGCAGGCGGUGCUGUAAGACAGGCGUGAAAUCCCCGGGCUCAACCUGGGAAUUGCGCUUGUGACUGCAGUGCUGGAGUACGGCAGAGGGGGAUGGAAUUCCGCGUGUAGCAGUGAAAUGCGUAGAUAUGCGGAGGAACACCGAUGGCGAAGGCAGUCCCCUGGGCCUGUACUGACGCUCAUGCACGAAAGCGUGGGGAGCAAACAGGAUUAGAAACCCCUGUAGUCC
Molecule: ribosomal RNA, 450 nt
Filed under: uncultured bacterium
Lineage: Bacteria
Description: partial 16S ribosomal RNA
Rfam family: Bacterial small subunit ribosomal RNA
Source: RNAcentral